AGCGAACGCUGGCGGCAGGCUUAACACAUGCAAGUCGAGCGGGCGUAGCAAUACGUCAGCGGCAGACGGGUGAGUAACACGUGGGAACGUACCUUUUGGUUCGGAACAACACAGGGAAACUUGUGCUAAUACCGAAUAAGCCCUUACGGGGAAAGAUUUAUCGCCGAAAGAUCGGCCCGCGUCUGAUUAGCUUGUUGGUGAGGUAACGGCUCACCAAGGCGACGAUCAGUAGCUGGUCGAGAGGAUGAUCAGCCACACUGGGACUGAGACACGGCCCAGACUCCUACGGGAGGCAGCAGUGGGGAAUAUUGGACAAUGGGGGCAACCCUGAUCCAGCCAUGCCGCGUGAGUGAUGAAGGCCCUAGGGUUGUAAAGCUCUUUUGUGCGGGAAGAUAAUGACGGUACCGCAAGAAUAAGCCCCGGCUAACUUCGUGCCAGCCGCCGCUGUAAG
Molecule: ribosomal RNA, 451 nt
Filed under: uncultured bacterium
Lineage: Bacteria
Description: bacterial SSU rRNA
Rfam family: Bacterial small subunit ribosomal RNA
Source: RNAcentral